This 304-nucleotide ribosomal RNA is filed under the name uncultured bacterium. RNAcentral's name for it is "partial 16S ribosomal RNA". It matches the Rfam family "Bacterial small subunit ribosomal RNA", at positions 506 to 807 of the family's 1533-position model. The record is from RNAcentral.
CAGCAGCAGCCACGGUAAGACAGGGGAUGCAAGCGUUAUCCGGAAUGAUUGGGCGUAAAGCGUCUGUAGGUGGCUUUUCAAGUCCGCCGUCAAAUCCCAGGGCUCAACCCUGGACAGGCGGUGGAAACUACCAAGCUGGAGUACGGUAGGGGCAGAGGGAAUUUCCAGUGGAGCGGUGAAAUGCGUUGAGAUCGAAAAGAACACCAACAGCGAAAGCACUCUGCUGGGACGACACUGACACUAAGAGACGAAAGCUAGGGGAGCAAAUGGGAUUAGAUACCCCAGUAGUCCCUGUCUCUUAUAC